UGGGGAAUAUUGGACAAUGGGCGCAAGCCUGAUCCAGCAAUACCGCGUGUGUGAAGAAGGCCUGAGGGUUGUAAAGCACUUUCAAUUGUGAAGAAAAGCUAAAGACCAAUAAUCUUUAGCCUUGACGUUAACUUUAGAAGAAGCACCGGCUAACUCCGUGCCAGCAGCCGCGGUAAUACGGAGGGUGCAAGCGUUAAUCGGAAUUACUGGGCGUAAAGCGUGCGUAGGUGGUUUGUUAAGUCAGAUGUGAAAUCCCCGGGCUCAACCUGGGAACUGCAUUUGAAACUGGCAAACUAGAGUAUAGGAGAGGAAAGUGGAAUUUCUGGUGUAGCGGUGAAAUGCGUAGAUAUCAGAAGGAACAUCAAUGGCGAAGGCAGCUUUCUGGACUAAUACUGACACUGAGGUACGAAAGCGUGGGUAGCAAACAGG
RNAcentral lists this ribosomal RNA (429 nucleotides) under uncultured bacterium. RNAcentral describes it as "bacterial SSU rRNA". It matches the Rfam family "Bacterial small subunit ribosomal RNA", at positions 355 to 776 of the family's 1533-position model. The record is from RNAcentral.